RNAcentral lists this ribosomal RNA (492 nucleotides) under uncultured bacterium. RNAcentral's name for it is "partial 16S ribosomal RNA". It matches the Rfam family "Bacterial small subunit ribosomal RNA", at positions 29 to 507 of the family's 1533-position model. The record is from RNAcentral.
AGUGAACGCUGGCGGUAGGCCUAACACAUGCAAGUCGAACGGCAGCACAGUAAGAGCUUGCUCUUACGGGUGGCGAGUGGCGGACGGGUGAGGAAUACAUCGGAAUCUACUUUUUCGUGGGGGAUAACGUAGGGAAACUUACGCUAAUACCGCAUACGAACUACGGGUGAAAGCAGGGGAUCUUCGGACCUUGCGCGAUUGAAUGAGCCGAUGUCGGAUUAGCUAGUUGGCGGGGUAAAGGCCCACCAAGGCGACGAUCCGUAGCUGGUCUGAGAGGAUGAUCAGCCACACUGGAACUGAGACACGGUCCAGACUCCUACGGGAGGCAGCAGUGGGGAAUAUUGGACAAUGGGCGCAAGCCUGAUCCAGCCAUACCGCGUGAGUGAAGAAGGCCUUCGGGCUGUAAAGCCCUUUUGUUGGGAAAGAAAAGCAGCAGGUUAAUACCCCGCUGUUCUGACGGUACCCAAAGAAUAAGCACCGGCUAACUUCGUG